This 74-nucleotide transfer RNA is filed under the name Bacteroidales bacterium 36-12. RNAcentral describes it as "tRNA-Cys". It matches the Rfam family "tRNA". From Rfam's summary of the family: Transfer RNA (tRNA) molecules are approximately 80 nucleotides in length. Their secondary structure includes four short double-helical elements and three loops (D, anti-codon, and T loops). Further hydrogen bonds mediate the characteristic L-shaped molecular structure. tRNAs have two regions of fundamental functional importance: the anti-codon, which is responsible for specific mRNA codon recognition, and the 3' end, to which the tRNAs corresponding amino acid is attached (by aminoacyl-tRNA synthetases). tRNAs cope with the degeneracy of the genetic code in two manners: having more than one tRNA (with a specific anti-codon) for a particular amino acid; and 'wobble' base-pairing, i.e. permitting non-standard base-pairing at the 3rd anti-codon position. The record is from RNAcentral. Lineage: Bacteria; Pseudomonadati; Bacteroidota; Bacteroidia; Bacteroidales.
GGUACUUUGGCCGAGUGGUUAGGCACCGGUCUGCAAAACCGUCUACGGCGGUUCGAAUCCGCCAAGUACCUCAA